This 241-nucleotide unclassified non-coding RNA is filed under the name uncultured Acidimicrobiia bacterium. Its description in RNAcentral is "contains 16S-23S intergenic spacer region". The record is from RNAcentral. Lineage: Bacteria; Bacillati; Actinomycetota; Acidimicrobiia.
UCCCCGUUAACCGGGGCAGUCCCCCUAGAGCUUUUCCCUGCAUGUCAAACCCAGGUAAGGUUCUUCGCGUAACAUCGAAUUAAGCAACACGCUCCGCUGCUUGUGCGGGCCCCCGUCAAUUCCUUUGAGUUUUAGCCUUGCGGCCGUACUCCCCAGGCGGGGCACUUAAUGCGUUAGCGACGGCGCGGAUCUCGUUGGUUGAGACCCACACCUAGUGCCCAACGUUUACGGCGUGGACUAC